AGUGAACGCUGGCGGUAGGCCUAACACAUGCAAGUCGAACGGCAGCACAGUAAGAGCUUGCUCUUACGGGUGGCGAGUGGCGGACGGGUGAGGAAUACAUCGGAAUCUACUUUUUCGUGGGGGAUAACGUAGGGGAACUUACGCUAAUACCGCAUACGACCUACGUGUGAAAGCAGGGGAUCUUCGGACCUUGCGCGAUUGAAUGAGCCGAUGUCGGAUUAGCUAGUUGGCGGGGUAAAGGCCCACCAAGGCGACGAUCCGUAGCUGGUCUGAGAGGAUGAUCAGCCACACUGGAACUGAGACACGGUCCAGACUCCUACGGGAGGCAGCAGUGGGGAAUAUUGGACAAGGGGCGCAAGCCUGUUCCAGCCAUACCGCGUGGGUGAAGAAGGCCUUCGGGUUGUAAAGCCCUUUUGUUGGGAAAGAAAAGCAGCAGGUUAAUACCCCGCUGUUCUGACGGUACCCAAAGAAUAAGCACCGGCUAACUUCGUG
RNAcentral lists this ribosomal RNA (492 nucleotides) under uncultured bacterium. RNAcentral describes it as "partial 16S ribosomal RNA". It matches the Rfam family "Bacterial small subunit ribosomal RNA", at positions 29 to 507 of the family's 1533-position model. The record is from RNAcentral.